This 24-nucleotide microRNA is filed under the name Glycine max (soybean). RNAcentral's name for it is "gma-miR10441". Lineage: Eukaryota; Viridiplantae; Streptophyta; Magnoliopsida; Fabales; Fabaceae. The record is from miRBase by way of RNAcentral.
CAACCCUGAGAACAAUGAAAUCGU